Molecule: ribosomal RNA, 245 nt
Filed under: uncultured bacterium
Lineage: Bacteria
Description: partial 16S ribosomal RNA
Rfam family: Bacterial small subunit ribosomal RNA
Source: RNAcentral
UACGAAGGGGGCUAGCGUUGUUCGGAAUUACUGGGCGUAAAGCGCGCGCAGGCGGUCCUUUAAGUCGGGGGUGAAAGCCCAGAGCUCAACUCUGGAACUGCCUUCGAAACUAGAGGACUUGGGUACGGGAGAGGUGAGUGGAAUUCCGGAGUGUAGAGGUGAAAUUCGUAGAUAUUCGGAAGAACACCAGUGGCGAAGGGCGCUCACUGGCCCGUUACCGACGGCUCAGGCGCGACAGCGAUGGG